GGGGAUGUAGCUCAGAGGGAGAGCGCCUCCCUUGCACGGAGGAGGUCAGGGGUUCAAGUCCCCUCAUCUCCACCA
This 75-nucleotide transfer RNA is filed under the name Pseudomonadota bacterium. RNAcentral's name for it is "Proteobacteria bacterium (marine sediment metagenome) tRNA-Ala". It matches the Rfam family "tRNA". Rfam says of the family: Transfer RNA (tRNA) molecules are approximately 80 nucleotides in length. Their secondary structure includes four short double-helical elements and three loops (D, anti-codon, and T loops). Lineage: Bacteria; Pseudomonadati; Pseudomonadota. The record is from RNAcentral. RNAcentral also lists the same sequence under 1 other name.